GACGAACGCUGGCGGCGUGCUUAACACAUGCAAGUCGAACGGAAAGGCCCUGCUUUUGUGGGGUGCUCGAGUGGCGAACGGGUGAGUAACACGUGAGUAACCUGCCCUUGACUUUGGGAUAACUUCAGGAAACUGGGGCUAAUACCGGAUAGGAGCUCCUGCUGCAUGGUGGGGGUUGGAAAGUUUCGGCGGUUGGGGAUGGACUCGCGGCUUAUCAGCUUGUUGGUGGGGUAGUGGCUUACCAAGGCUUUGACGGGUAGCCGGCCUGAGAGGGUGAACGGCCACAUUGGGACUGAGAUGCGGCCGAGACUCCUACGGGAGGCAGCAGUGGGGAAUAUUGCACAAUGGGCGGAAGCCUGAUGAGCAACGCCGCGUGGGGGAUGACGGCCUUCGGGUUGUAAACCGCUUUCGCCUGUGACGAAGCGUGAGUGACGGUAAUGGGUAAAGAAGCACCGGCUAACUACGU
Molecule: ribosomal RNA, 466 nt
Filed under: uncultured bacterium
Lineage: Bacteria
Description: partial 16S ribosomal RNA
Rfam family: Bacterial small subunit ribosomal RNA
Source: RNAcentral